CCAGAACCUAAUUUUGGGAGGGGCACUGGUAGAUUAUUUAAAGAAACAAUCCAGGCACAAUAACCACUACAGCACUUUGUAGUGGUUACGGUACCAGUAGUGCCCUCCCAGAGUAAGCAGUCAAACUGUUUAAGAACAGUUUGACAACUUACCUGGAAUCUGCCAGGAUAGGGGCUGUAGAAGGGGAUAGGGGCAGUAGUGU
Non-coding RNA from Pelobates cultripes (western spadefoot toad), 202 nucleotides. NCBI's taxonomy places the organism in Eukaryota, Metazoa, Chordata, Amphibia, Anura, Pelobatidae. The record is from the annotation of a GenBank genome assembly.